RNAcentral lists this ribosomal RNA (468 nucleotides) under uncultured bacterium. RNAcentral's name for it is "partial 16S ribosomal RNA". It matches the Rfam family "Bacterial small subunit ribosomal RNA", at positions 28 to 507 of the family's 1533-position model. The record is from RNAcentral.
GAUGAACGCUGGCGGCGUGCCUAAUACAUGCAAGUCGAACGGACAGACGCGGCUCUUGCUGCUCGCACGUUAGCGGCACGCGUGUGUAACCCGUGAGUAACCCGACCUUUACUUUGGGAUAAAUUUAGGAAACCCGGGCUAAUACCGGAUAGGAGUUCUUGCCCCAUGGUGUGGGUUGGAAAGGUUGGGCGGUUGGGGAUGGACUCGAGGCUUAUCGGCUCGUUGGUUGGGUAGUGGCUUACCAAGGUUCCGAGGGAUAGACGACCUGAGAGGGUGACCGGCCACAUUAGGACUGAGGUACGGCGCAGACGCCUACGGGAGGCAGCGGUGGAGAGUAUUACGCAAUAGGCCGGAGCGUGAUACGACGGCGCCGGGUGCGGGAUGACGGCCUUCGAGUGGUGAACAUCUUUCGCCUGAAACGAGGCGUGAGUGACGGUAAUGGGUAAGAAAGCACCGGCUAACUACGUG